This 301-nucleotide ribosomal RNA is filed under the name uncultured bacterium. Its description in RNAcentral is "partial 16S ribosomal RNA". It matches the Rfam family "Bacterial small subunit ribosomal RNA", at positions 509 to 809 of the family's 1533-position model. The record is from RNAcentral.
CAGUAGCCGCGGUAAUACGAAGGGGGCUAGCGUUGCUCGGAAUGACUGGGCGUAAAGGGCGCGUAGGCGGAUGGCACAGUCAGAUGUGAAAUUCCUGGGCUUAACCUGGGGGCUGCAUUUGAUACGUGUUGUCUAGAGUGUGAAAGAGGGUCGUGGAAUUCCCAGUGUAGAGGUGAAAUUCGUAGAUAUUGGGAAGAACACCGGUGGCGAAGGCGGCGACCUGGUUCAUGACUGACGCUGAGGCGCGAAAGCGUGGGGAGCAAACAGGAUUAGAUACCCCGGUAGUCCCUGUCUCUUAUAU